UUUUAACCCAAAUUUGAGGAUGUAGGUCAAGCUGAACCAAAGGCAUUUACAUCACAUUAGGAAUUUGUUGGUCAAGCACCUGCUGUACAUAGAACAACAAUCCAUUACAGCUUUGACUAUGCCGAGCAGGUCUUCUACCAAUACUAGGCACAGCAAGAGUGCCCUGCUUUGAAGUGUUCUGUAAAUCAUAUGGUUCACAGAUAUCUCAGUGAUAAGGGUUUAGCUGUUAUGUGGCCAAUGGUGUGGUACCUCAUUUUCAACAUCAUCCAUAUGGAGAAGACUCUGCAUACCUGCACAUUGACAACUGUGUUGGGUGGAAUAAAAACAAUGCAAUCAUUGGGGUCUGAUGUAUUCUGAAGGGAGAGAAACAGCCUUUACUUAAUGGAAGCAGGUGACAUAAAGUUCAGUCAUGUGUGAGAUUUGGUCUGUGGAAUACCAAAUGGAGGCAGCACACAUCCUUUGUGGAUUGAUGACCUUGCCAAACUGGUUAUAUACUUUGACUGGUUGGAGUACACCAAGUGACCCCUGAAGUCCAUUCCAAACUUGAG
Molecule: long non-coding RNA, 548 nt
Organism: Mya arenaria
Lineage: Eukaryota; Metazoa; Mollusca; Bivalvia; Myida; Myidae
Exons: 5
Source: RefSeq, a predicted model, not a curated record